Molecule: ribosomal RNA, 497 nt
Filed under: uncultured bacterium
Lineage: Bacteria
Description: partial 16S ribosomal RNA
Rfam family: Bacterial small subunit ribosomal RNA
Source: RNAcentral
GAUGAACGCUGGCGGCGUGCCUAAUACAUGCAAGUCGAGCGAACGGACGAGAAGCUUGCCUCUCUGAUGUUAGCGGCGGACGGGUGAGUAACACGUGGAUAACCUACCUAUAAGACUGGGAUAACUUCGGGAAACCGGAGCUAAUACCGGAUAAUAUUUUGAACCGCAUGGUUCAAAAGUGAAAGACGGUCUUGCUUUCACUUAUAGAUGGAUCCGCGUUGCAUUAGCUAGUUGGUAAGGUAACGGCUAACCAAGGCAACGAUGCAUAGCCGACCUGGGAGGGGGAUCGGCCACACUGGAACUGGGACACGGUCCAGACUCCUACGGGAGGCAGCAGUAGGGAAUCUUCCGCAAUGGGCGAAAGCCUGACGGAGCAACGCCGCGUGAGUGAUGAAGGUCUUCGGAUCGUAAAACUCUGUGAUUAGGGAAGAACAUAUGUGUAAGUAACUGUGCACAUCUUGACGGUACCUAAUCAGAAAGCCACGGCUAACUACGUG